AUCGCUUCUCGGCCUUUUGGCUAAGAUCAAGUGUAGAUGGAAUUUCUAUUGUUUUGAUUUGCAUUUGUAUAAUGGCCAAAGAUACUGAAUGCUUUUUCAUAAAUUUAUUGGCCAUUUGUACUUUUUCCUCUGAGAAGCAUCUAUUCAUU
This is a small nuclear RNA of Heterocephalus glaber (naked mole-rat), 149 nucleotides long. Its record names the gene U2. It matches the Rfam family "U2 spliceosomal RNA". From Rfam's summary of the family: U2 is a small nuclear RNA (snRNA) component of the spliceosome (involved in pre-mRNA splicing). The record is from Ensembl. Lineage: Eukaryota; Metazoa; Chordata; Mammalia; Rodentia; Bathyergidae.